GCAGUUUCUCGGAAAAAUGUGCCCGCGCUUCUCCUGACCGGGUCUGUGUCCUGUCCUGGCAUUCCCACCACCAGACUUCCUGUCCUCCCCAACUUGGCCCUAGCUCUUUUCAGCAUCUACUAUUUCAUGUGGUUUCCGGAACGCAGAUCAACGUCGAGUGACUUCCAGUAUUUGCAGGGUACCAGCUAUUGAAGGUCUCGGAACUAAGAAGACCAAGACAAAUAAGACUCAGCUGUGCUUGUCCUUGGGGAGUGUCAGAGUUACAAGACUGAAAGCAGAAGCUUACAGGGCUCUUUAGAGGAAGGAGGAGACUCAGCUGUGAUCCACAAUCACUUCCACACAUUCUGCUGGCCAAAGCAGAGUACAAGGCUGCCAAGAUUCAAAUCAUGAAGAAUCAGACUCUGGUGGUAGCAGGAGCUGUAAAGAGAGUAGAUACAGGGAAGUAAUAAUUGUAGCCAUUUAAAAAAAUUACCAAUAACCACCCUUACCUAAGCUUGUCAAAAUGAAAUGGCUGCAGAAUGCAUGCCUAAGGGGGGAAAAUAGCCUGCUACAUGCAAUUGUUCAGAGUAAACUAAGUAAAAAUUGAUAGGCAUUUGCCAAGUAUUUUUGUAUACUAAACAUUCAAAUUUAGUCAUUCAUUCAAAUAGUAGUUAGUAAAAUGAGAUAUCUUUUGUGGCAACUGUUAUCCUUAUAUAGGGAUGUAUAUAUUUUCAUAUAUGCAGUUGUAAAUUUAAGCAAUAUUAAACACAAGUGGGGAAAAUGAAGAGACAGAUGAGUCUUAAUACAGAGCUGAUUUGGAUAUUUCCACCCUUCUUCUCUUACCAAGGAAGUCAUUAGCUGUCUUGCCUUAGGAUCUUCAGAGAGGAUUCCAGUGAAAAUGAAAGAAAUAAGCAAAAAAAAGAAAAAAACCCUAAGAAAUUGAACCUUAAUAAAUGAAUAGGGAGUACAGGACACAGCAAAGUGAUUGCAGAUAUUGAGGAUAUCAUAUUCUUCUUGCAAAGAAACCUAAUUAGGUAGGAAAGAAUCAAGAUUUCAUUGAUCCUCAGUGAAAAGCAUGCUGUUUCCUUCACCACUUGAUUUUUCACUGCUCAGUCAAUACUACCUCAGACAACUGCUUUCGCACAAAUACAACCAUAUCUUUCCACUGUACUCAACUUUGUCCAGCAACCUUAAAUUAAUCUUAGGGGAUCUUUUCUUUCUCUCUCUUGUUUCUAUUCCUAUGUUACAAAAAUAAAAUGAGUUAUGACUAACAAAUGGAGUGUGACCUCACCCAUGAAAGGGAAAAUAUAAAAUCAGAAACCAGUACCAUAAACUCUGAACCCCUUGGAGUGUCUGUGAUUUCCCUUUAUCAUCCUCACAGGAACGUCCGUCUGCCUCAUUCUUUUCUGGUUCAGUGUCCUUCCAAGCAUGACAUGAAGAAUACUUUUAAACUUGUAUUUAAAUCAAGUCAAAUUGAGUACACAUUUCAGUUACAGUGAAGUUUAAACAGACUUCUACUGGUGUACCUCACUGUAGGAUAUGAUCGUUUUAUUUUUGUUUUGUAGAAAAAUGCAUGCAGACCAGGAACAAACUUGUGAUCCUAGCAUUGCAGCAGGAUGAGACAAGUGGACCACAAGUUUAAGCCCAGCUUGGAUAAUUUAGUGACUCAGGAGGUCCUGUUGAGAGAGAAAGUGGGGGGGGGUGGGGAGGAAGAAGGAGGAGGAAGAGGAGAGAAAGAAAAGAAAAGGACUUGGGAUGUUCGUUAGUGAAAGGGCUCUGGUUCAAUCCCUCGUGCCCCCCCCAAGAAAACCCCAUAAAAUAAACAAACGAGACACCCCAUACCAACCAGACAGAAAAACAAAAGUGCAUUCUGAAUACUUACUUAAAUUAAAAGUGAAAUUCUGGAACAAA
Molecule: non-coding RNA, 1890 nt
Organism: Heterocephalus glaber (naked mole-rat)
Lineage: Eukaryota; Metazoa; Chordata; Mammalia; Rodentia; Bathyergidae
Source: RefSeq, a predicted model, not a curated record